Molecule: ribosomal RNA, 2961 nt
Filed under: Salmonella enterica subsp. enterica serovar Indiana
Lineage: Bacteria; Pseudomonadati; Pseudomonadota; Gammaproteobacteria; Enterobacterales; Enterobacteriaceae
Description: 23S ribosomal RNA
Rfam family: Bacterial large subunit ribosomal RNA
Source: RNAcentral
GGGUUGUGAGGUUAAGCGACUAAGCGUACACGGUGGAUGCCCUGGCAGUCAGAGGCGAUGAAGGACGUGCUAAUCUGCGAUAAGCGCCGGUAAGGUGAUAUGAACCGUUAUAACCGGCGAUUUCCGAAUGGGGAAACCCAGUGUGACUCGUCACACUAUCAUUAACUGAAUCCAUAGGUUAAUGAGGCGAACCGGGGAACUGAAACAUCUAAGUACCCCGAGGAAAAGAAAUCAACCGAGAUUCCCCCAGUAGCGGCGAGCGAACGGGGAGGAGCCCAGAGCCUGAAUCAGCAUGUGUGUUAGUGGAAGCGUCUGGAAAGGCGCGCGAUACAGGGUGACAGCCCCGUACACAAAAGCGCAUGUGCUGUGAGCUCGAUGAGUAGGGCGGGGACACGUGGUAUCCUGUCUGAAUAUGGGGGGACCAUCCUCCAAGGCUAAAUACUCCUGACUGACCGAUAGUGAACCAGUACCGUGAGGGAAAGGCGAAAAGAACCCCCGGCGAGGGGAGUGAAAAAGAACCUGAAACCGUGUACGUACAAACAGUGGGAGCACCCUUCGGGGUGUGACUGCGUACCUUUUGUAUAAUGGGUCAGGCGACUUAUAUUCUGUAGCAAGGUUAACCGAAUAGGGGAGCCGGAGGGAAACCGAGUCUUAAUUGGGCGUUAAGUUGCAGGGUAUAGACCCGAAACCCGGUGAUCUAGCCAUGGGCAGGUUGAAGGUUGGGUAACACUAACUGGAGGACCGAACCGACUAAUGUUGAAAAAUUAGCGGAUGACCUGUGGCUGGGGGUGAAAGGCCAAUCAAAACCGGGAGAUAGCUGGUUCUCCCCGAAAGCUAUUUAGGUAGCGCCUCGUGAAUUUCAUCUCCGGGGUAGAGCACUGUUUCGGCUAGGGGGCCAUCCCGGCUUACCAACCCGAUGCAAACUGCGAAUACCGGAGAAUGUUAUCACGGGAGACACACGGCGGGUGCUAACGUCCGUCGUGAAGAGGGAAACAACCCAGACCGCCAGCUAAGGUCCCAAAGUCAUGGUUAAGUGGGAAACGAUGUGGGAAGGCCCAGACAGCCAGGAUGUUGGCUUAGAAGCAGCCAUCAUUUAAAGAAAGCGUAAUAGCUCACUGGUCGAGUCGGCCUGCGCGGAAGAUGUAACGGGGCUAAACCAUGCACCGAAGCUGCGGCAGCGACACUGUGUGUUGUUGGGUAGGGGAGCGUUCUGUAAGCCUGCGAAGGUGGCCUGUGAGGGUUGCUGGAGGUAUCAGAAGUGCGAAUGCUGACAUAAGUAACGAUAAAGCGGGUGAAAAGCCCGCUCGCCGGAAGACCAAGGGUUCCUGUCCAACGUUAAUCGGGGCAGGGUGAGUCGACCCCUAAGGCGAGGCCGAAAGGCGUAGUCGAUGGAAACGGGUUAAUAUUCCCGUACUUGGUGUUACUGCGAAGGGGGGACGGAGAAGGCUAUGUUGGCCGGGCGACGGUUGUCCCCGUUUAAGCGUGUAGGUGUGUGUUCCAGGUAAAUCCGGUUCACUUUAACACUGAGCGCGUGACGACGAGGCACUACGGUGCUGAAGCAACAAAUGCCUGCUUCCAGGAAAGCCUCUAAGCAUCACGGUAAACAUCAAAUCGUACCCGCAAACCGACACAGGUGUCAGGUAGAGAAUACCAAAGGCGCUUGAGAGAACUCGGGUGAAGGACUAGGCAAAAUGGUGCCCGUAACUUCGGAGAAGGCACGCUGACAUGUAGGUGAAGUGAUUUACUCAUGGAGCUGAAGUCAGUCGAAGAGAUACCAGCUGGCUGCAACUGUUAUUAAAAACACAGCACUGUGCCAAACACGAAAGUGGACGUAUACGGUGUGACGCCUGCCCGGUGCCGGGAAGGUUAAUUGAUGGGGUCAGCGCAAGCGAAGCUACCUGAUGCGAAGCCCCGGUAAAUCGGCGGCCGUAACUAUAACGUUCCCUAAGGUAGCGAAAUUCCUUGUCGGGAUAAGUUUCCGACCUGCACGAAUGGCGUAUGAUGGCCAGGCUGUCUCCAGCCGAGACUCAGUGAAAUUGACAACUCCGGCUGUGAAGAUGCAGUGUAGGCCCGCGGCAGAGACGGAAAGACCCCCGUGAACCCUUUACUAUAGGCUUGACACUGAACAUUGAGCCUUGAUGUGUAGGAUAGGGGGGAGGCUUUGAAGCGUGGACGCCAGUCUGCAUGGAGCCGACCCUUGAAAUAACCACCCUUUUAAUGUUUGAUGUUCUAAACGUGGACCCGUAAGUCCGGGUUGCGGACAGUGUCUGGUGGGUAGUUUUGACUGGGGCGGUCUCCUCCUCCAAAAGAGUCAACGAGGAGCCACCGAAGGGUUUGGCUUAAUCCUGGUCGACAUCAAGGAGGUUAGUCAAUGGCAUAAGCCAGCUUGACUGCGAGCGUGACGGCGCGAGCAGGUGCGAAGCAGGUCAUAGUGAUCCGGUGGUUCUGAAUGGAAAGGGCCAUCGCUCAACGGAUAAAAGGUACUCCGGGAUAACAGCUGAUACCGCCCCAAGAGUUCAUAUCGACGGCGGUGUUUGGCACCUCGAUGUCGGCUCAUCAACAUCCUGGGGCUGAAGUAGGUCCAAGGGUAUGGCUGUUCGCCAUUUAAAGUGGUACGCGAGCUGGGUUUAGAACGUCGUGAGACAGUUCGGUCCCUAUCUGCCGUGGGCGCUGGAGAACUGAGGGGGGGCUUGCUCCUAGUACGAGAGGACCGGAGUGGACGCAUCACUGGUGUUCGGGUUGUCAUGCCAAUGGCACUGCCCGGUAGCUAAAUGCGGAAGAGAUAAGUGCUGAAAGCAUCUAAGCACGAAACUUGCCCCGAGAUGAGUUCUCCCUGAGACUUAGAGUCUCCUGAAGGAACGUUGAAGACGACGACGUUGAUAGGCCGGGUGUGUAAGCGCAGCGAUGCGUUGAGCUAACCGGUACUAAUGAACCGUGAGGCUUAACCUUACAACGCCGAAG